GAUGAACGCUGGCGGCGUGCCUAACACAUGCAAGUCGAACGAGAUGCGUAUUGGAAAGCUUCGGCCGGAAGAUACGUUAUCUAGUGGCGGACGGGUGAGUAACACGUGGGUAACCUGCCUUAUGGAGGGGGAUAACAGAGAGAAAUCACUGCUAAUACCGCAUAAGCACACAGUACCGCAUGGUACAGGGUGAAAAGAUUUAUCGCCAUAAGAUGGACCCGCGUCUGAUUAGCCAGUUGGCAGGGUAAAAGCCUACCAAAGCAACGAUCAGUAGCCGAUCUGAGAGGAUGACCGGCCACAUUGGGACUGAGACACGGCCCAAACUCCUACGGGAGGCAGCAGUGGGGAAUAUUGCACAAUGGGGGAAACCCUGAUGCAGCGACGCCGCGUGAGUGAAGAAGUAUUUCGGUAUGUAAAGCUCUAUCAGCAGGGAAGAUAAUGACAGUACCUGACUAAGAAGCCCCGG
Molecule: ribosomal RNA, 466 nt
Filed under: uncultured bacterium
Lineage: Bacteria
Description: bacterial SSU rRNA
Rfam family: Bacterial small subunit ribosomal RNA
Source: RNAcentral